AACAAUCACUUAGUUUGGGCUAGAGCACAGAACAGCCCCUCUAGAUGCCAGAAAACUGGAUUUACAGUUUUAGCUCUAAAUAAUGCACCAAUAUACAUGCCCUGUUGGCAGGCAACAGGAGGCUGGGCAGGCUGUAAUAGAAAGAUGUCUGCUUUAACUCACAUAGGAUAUUAUAGCAGAAACAAGGUUUGAGUUUUGAAAAAUCAAAGACAGAAAAUUACAGUCCUUUAAUAUACUGCAGAGGAUUUUAUUUUCUCACACUUCUCUAUGGUUUGUUUCUUUUUUAAAGUAAAUUCAUUUAGGAACUAAAGCAAGACAGAAAUCAUUCUUUUACUUCUGGAGAAAAGCUUGAAAACGUGAAGUCUGAUGGCUCUAAACCAGAAAGCUAAGAUAAUAUAUCCUUCGAAGUUCAUGGUAUUAUUAAAGACCUGAGUCAUGAUUUUUGAGUGCUUGAGGUUAACAGUAAUUUAUUGAUCUCAGCAUAAGAAAAGGGUACACUUUUUCAGAAACAAUUGUUUCACUGUUAUCACAUACACUUUUAAAAGUAUAGUAUGUGAUGUGUAUCCUUGUAUUCUCUGUAUGUUUUUUUGUUUGUUCGUUUGUUUGUUUUCAUAUCGAAGAGUUUUUUCUCUCAGAAACAAGUCAAAACUUUUAAUUGAUUUCCAGUCUGAAGAAGUAAGGGUAUCAGAUUGUUUGUUUUAUUUGAAAUUUUGACAAUCUGCAUACCAGAUAAAGUACUGUUAUUCACUGAGUGCUGCAAUACCAUCACAGCUUUGGACAAGGCUGAGCAGAGUUUCUGCCUCUUCUCAAGCCAAGCUCAUUUCCCCCAGUUCUCUAUAUCUCAAGGAGGAAGAAGGAACCUCUCUGUCCUCAGCGGACCUCACUCCAUAGCAGAUGCUGAUAUGCAAGUUGACACUGGGAUCUGCUCUUUUUCCCCAGCUCCUCUGGGAGUGGAUCACCCCCACCAGCACUCAGACAGACCACCAGUGAUCCUGCUGCAUUUCACUGAGAGAAGACUGCCACCAGCAGUGGGUCUACAGUCAGCCUUCUCCUACUGAUAUGAAGGGACCACCCUAAUGCAGAUACCCACCAACAAACUAAUCCCAGUGCUUAAAAAUUUUGACAGGUCUACUGCAUGUCAGAGGGUUGAUGUUCAGAUUUCAAGAGAAGAAAACGUUGCACCUAUUUGAUGGAAGCCACAGUACCUGGGCAUCCUUUAUAUUCCUGAAAGUGCUUAUGCUGCUUUAUAGAACACUGACUGAGACUUGUAUUUAGAACCAGGACUUCCAGCUGUUCCAGUACACAGCAGCAUAGUCCUCAUAGCACAGAGCAUCUUGGCACUUGCCAAGAAAACUAGUGUACAUUUAUAAAAAGUAGUACUGUCUGUAAUAAUUAUUCUCCUUCAGGCAUAUGCCAAAAUCAGUCAGAUAGAAUGCUGGCAAUAUUGUUGGUAGGGUUCUCGGAUAACAAAAUGUUAUUGAGCUUCUUUUCAUUAAAACAGAAGCAAGGAAAAAGAAAACCUAGAUUUAUAUAUAUACAUGUAUAUAUAGAGAGAGACAGAUAAUAUAUUUUAGAUUUCUCCUUCUCUGAAGGAGCAGCGAUUAAUCUACUUGCUCUUUCUGUGUUUCUGCUCUCACGAAUAAUUAUGAAAUGUUUGAAAUUAUGAUUCAUCCAUAACAAUGAGCAGAUAUAUUAAUAACUCAAGUAGAAAUAAGACAUUUACAUCUCUUCUUUUAAUAUAGCUUAAUUAAGAAAUUUUUUUGUGAACAGGUCACUAUUAUCUGUCCUGAUUAAUUCAGAAAUUUGACUAGCAGGAGAAGUUACACAGAAAGAAGAACUUCAGAGGAUGCUAAAUAGAAUUUCAAUCACUGGUAUUUCUACUGUCUAACCCAUAAAAUAUGUCAGAGUGUGCGUUGGGGUAUUGAUUUUCUGAUGUCUGGGAGAUGAAAAUACAAGUACCCAAGUGUUCCUCUUGACAGUUACAUUAAGAAAAUACUCAAGAAAAAAAAAAUAAUUUUGUUUGUUUUUGUUUUCCAAAAAGUUAUUCACAUGCAGUGACAACUAUUGUGAGGUAAACUUGAUAAAAUUAGGAACCUGAUUUUUUUGUUUGUUUGUUUGUUUAUGAUUUCAAGAAAGACAUAAGGGAAUAAGAAAUAAAUAGCAAGGAUUUGUAAUAUCA
Molecule: long non-coding RNA, 2179 nt
Filed under: Anas platyrhynchos platyrhynchos (common mallard)
Lineage: Eukaryota; Metazoa; Chordata; Aves; Anseriformes; Anatidae
Description: lncRNA (ENSAPLG00000030454.1)
Source: RNAcentral